Molecule: ribosomal RNA, 470 nt
Filed under: uncultured bacterium
Lineage: Bacteria
Description: SSU rRNA
Rfam family: Bacterial small subunit ribosomal RNA
Source: RNAcentral
AGGACGAACGCUGGCGGCGUGCUUAACACAUGCAAGUCGAACGGUAAGGCCCUUCGGGGUACACGAGUGGCGAACGGGUGAGUAACACGUGGGUGAUCUGCCCUGCACUUCGGGAUAAGCUUGGGAAACUGGGUCUAAUACCGGAUAUGACUACGAAUCGCAUGGUUUGUGGUGGAAAGCUUUUGCGGUGUGGGAUGGGCCCGCGGCCUAUCAGCUUGUUGGUGGGGUGAUGGCCUACCAAGGCGACGACGGGUAGCCGGCCUGAGAGGGUGUCCGGCCACACUGGGACUGAGAUACGGCCCAGACUCCUACGGGAGGCAGCAGUGGGGAAUAUUGGACAAUGGGCGCAAGCCUGAUCCAGCCAUGCCGCGUGAGUGAUGAAGGCCCUAGGGUUGUAAAGCUCUUUUGUGCGGGAAGAUAAUGACGGUACCGCAAGAAUAAGCCCCGGCUAACUUCGUGCCAGCAGCCGC